CGUUUUCUUCUGAGACAGCUGACUGGCCCCCUGACGGCUUGAAAACGGUGCCGAGAGCAUUCCUGAGGCUUCGUGAAGGUUUGCCUCGACCGACUCUGUUGAUGCCAGCCUGCUCUGCGACAGCUUCACAGGAAAGGAAAGUCUUGUUCUAAGAGGGAAGAUGGGGAGGAAGAUUGUCUCGGAGCCAGGGGGAUUUCAUUUGAGGGCUUGCCACACUUUCUGGGUGGGCUUGGAGUGCGCACUCUGUUGAAAAUAUUUCCCUUUCCUCAUCUACGAAAUUGAGAAAAUAACACUUCUGUGCUUUAAGCAGCAGACUUAAAACUGAUAACAGGAGCCUUAUUCAGACAUUCUACUUAAGUGUUUAAAUUAACGCAGGAUGGGGCUGCCGCAGGGGUGCAGAGACUAGCCCCUCCCUGUCUUCUUCUCAUAUACAGCUGAGAAGGCAAAAGUCUCUACGUAAUGUGGGACCACCCAACUUUUGGGUGGUACACUCAAAGCUUGGUUCCAGAAUGCCUCCGUUUUCAAAUGUUUUGGCUCUCAAAAGCCGAAAACCCGGAAGUAAAUGCUCUGGUUUUUGAACGCUUUUGAGAACCCAAAUGUCCGACACAGCUUCUGCUUGUGUGCAAGAAGCUCUUGUAACCAAUUGGAAGCCGUGCCUCGGUUGUCGAAGGUUUUGGAAGUCAAACGGCCUUCCAGAAUGGAUUACCGUAUUUUUCGCUCCAUAAGGCACACCGGACCAUAGGGCGCACCUAGUUUUUAGAGGGGGAAAUCAAGAAAAAAAAUCUAAUUUCUCCCCCCAGCCCUAAAGAGCAGCGUACAGGCUGUGCGCAACCUCUCCCUGCCGGAGGGGUUGCGCGCGGCUAUGGCACAAGCCAAGACAGCGAGCGGGAUGGAUCCCAUUCACUGUUUUGGCUUCCUCUUUAGCCCCGCGCAACUCUCCCUGCCGGAGGGGCUACGUGCGGCUAUCCCUGAAGCCUUCCGAGCACAGCGCAAGUUCCCACUGCGCUCCUCAGGCUUCGGGUUCCUUUUGCUGAAGCCGGGAGAGCAAGAGGGGUCGGUGCGCACCCCUCUGCGCACCGACCCCUUCAGAGGCUUUGCGUUGCUAUUGCUGAAGCCAAGGAGCCUGCAUUCGCUCCAUAGGACGCACACACAUUUCCCCUUAAUUUUUGGAGGGGAAAAAGUGCAUCCUAUAGAGCGAAAAAUACGGUAUGUUCGACAACCAAGGUUUGACUGCAUUGUGUUUUUAUUUGUUGGAAGCUGUCCAGAGUGGCUGGUUAACAUUGUCAGAUGGGCAGCAUAUAAAUUGUUGCUGUUGCUGUUGUUGUUGUUGCUGCUGCUGCUGUUAUUAUCUCUACUGUUGGGUCAUCUAUUGCAGCGCUUUAUUAUCCUCAUGGAAGAAAUGGUCACCAUUCACUGAUAUGGGAGAAUGUGGAUAACAACACCAAUGUAGGCUGAACCUGCCUGUGAUGGCCUGGGAUUCGGACUCGGAUGCUGAACCUGAGGGAUCCCAGCCUGCACAGGAUUCCCUGCCUCCAGUAUCUACCUGUGCUGGAUCCUCAGGUGCAGGCACCAGCUGAGUCUGCUCUGGCUCCUGAGGUGAUUGCCUGCAGGUGCUCCACUCUCAGCCCCAUCAGAGGAAGCUGAGGUUGCCUCUGGGUCCGGUAACCCUCCAGCCUCUCCUGAGCUUCAGAGCCUCAGGGCAGAGAGGCGGAGGGAACUAAGUUCCCACAGAAGGAGUGCUCGCCUCCAGACCAGGAGAGGCGAGUCACCAGAGGAUCAGGGCCGCCCUAUGUCUCGGGGCAGAUAAAAGCUGGCCAGCCCCAGUCCCAAGUUGCAGGAACAAUACUGAUGGUUGCUAGUUCCUGCCUGAACCCUGUCCUGCUUUUCUGCCAGAGCUCCUGACCCAUUCCUGACUUCACCCGACUGUCCUGCACCCAGCUUCAGCUACUACGGACUGCCUCCAUGUUGCACCUUUGACCAUGGACCGGACUUGGACCUCACCUCUCGGGGAACCCAAGGGACCAGGACACUGCCUUUGAGAAUUUCAGCUUCUCUGACCCAGUAUGUUUACGUCUCCAAGACUGGUUGUGUGGAGGAAAGCUAGAGGUGCCCUUAGCUUGUACAGCGGCACCUUGGUUCUCAAACUUAAUCCGUUCCAGAAGUCUGUUCCAAAACCAAAGCGUUCCAAAACCAAGGCGCGCUUUCCCAUUGAAAGUAAUGCAAAAUGGAUUUAUCUGUUCCAGACUUUUAAAAACAACCCCCAAAACAUGGAUCCAAUUUAACAUGGAUUUUACUAUCUAGCGAGACCAUGGAUCCAUAAAAUGAGAGCAAUAAUCAAUGCACUGUACUGUAAAAUAAAUCAGAUAAUAUUGUAGAUGAUGAAAAAUAAAACAAUUUUUUUCCCUACCUGCACUGAUGGUAGUCAUUAUAAUAAAUAGCUUUUAUCUAUUUCCACAGUCACGCAAGCAAUCAGUAGCUGAACUGGGUUCCACACAGUCACAAAAACAAAUUAACCGAAAAAGCAACAAAAACGCCAAACUUAAUCCAUUCUGGAAGACCGUUUGACUUCCGAAAUGUUCAAAAGCUAAGGUGGCACUUCUGAUUGGUGCAGGUGCCCCAGAAACAAUAGCCGACAACCGCAUCGGACGUUCGGCUUCCGAAAAACGCUCAAAAACCAGAACACUUACUUCCGGGUUUUCGGCAUUUGAGAACCAAGGCAUUUGAGUACCAAGGCGUUUGAGAACCAAGGUACCACUGUGCCAGAAAUUGAGCUUUUGGUGCUGCAGCUGAAGCUCUCUGGAAUCAACAAGCAGACAAAGUCAGACAAGUGCCUGGCAAGAUUAUGUUUAGGUGUCUACCAAAUACAUUUUUGUUCAGGAAGGCUUUCCCUGAAGCGCAACCCAAUCAUUUAUG
RNAcentral lists this long non-coding RNA (2913 nucleotides) under Podarcis lilfordi (Lilford's wall lizard). The record is from RNAcentral. Lineage: Eukaryota; Metazoa; Chordata; Lepidosauria; Squamata; Lacertidae.